GACAGAGGGUGCAAACGUUGUUCGGAAUUACUGGGCAUAAAGAGCACGUAGGUGGUCUGCUAAGUCGUGUGUGAAAUCCCCCGGCUCAACCGGGGAAUUGCGCUCGAUACUGGCAGGCUCGAGGUGGGUAGGGGUGAGCGGAACUCCAGGUGGAGCGGUGAAAUGCGUAGAUAUCUGGAGGAACACCGGUGGCGAAAGCGGCUCACUGGACCCAAUCUGACACUGAGGUGCGAAAGCUAGGGUAGCAAACGGG
This 253-nucleotide ribosomal RNA is filed under the name uncultured bacterium. RNAcentral describes it as "partial 16S ribosomal RNA". It matches the Rfam family "Bacterial small subunit ribosomal RNA", at positions 524 to 776 of the family's 1533-position model. The record is from RNAcentral.